UCCCAUUGUAAAACAUCGAUCAUUCCUAUUAAAUUCAUAUGAAAGACAAGAUUUAGUUCUUAUGUAGAAGAAUCAUACAUGCUUAUAUUUAUUAUAGUCCAAGGUACAAACUGCACUAAAUAUAAUACAUGCAUGCAUACACUGACGAGAACCUAAACUUAGAAUUAGUACGCAUUCUUGUGCCCAUAAUACAUCUAAUCACUAGUCUUCAAAUGAAACAGAAAUAAGAUAAAAUCAUGUAGUAUUCCUCAAUAGAAAAUACUAACAAUGCACUCUUAGAUUAAUUCUUCACAGAAUGGCCAACACCGGGGCUAUGUCCCGGAGUUGUAGGUCGAAAAGCUUCAACAUUUUCCUCUAGAUUUCUCCGACUAUUCCGCAACUUCCUUGAGCUCAAAACAAAACUUCUUGUUGUCACUCUCUCAAUGGAUGAUGAUUCAAAUGAACCAAUGCUCUCUCUCAAACUCCUUCCUUCUAUAAUGGGAAGUAGAUCACUCGAAACCAGCAAGAGGAAAAAGAUCAAACAAUGAGUGAAAUGUGUCAUAGUUAACUCAAAGUUUCAAAUGAGAGUGAGAAAAGAAAAUACUACUCAAGAAGGAAUGCAAAAGAAGAUGAAGCUGCAAAGAGUUUAAUUAGGGUUUAAAAAACGGCGCUUGAU
This 655-nucleotide long non-coding RNA is filed under the name Lathyrus oleraceus (garden pea). Its description in RNAcentral is "Pisum sativum (pea) long non-coding RNA (PSAT_LNC007895)". Lineage: Eukaryota; Viridiplantae; Streptophyta; Magnoliopsida; Fabales; Fabaceae. The record is from RNAcentral.